Molecule: ribosomal RNA, 502 nt
Filed under: uncultured bacterium
Lineage: Bacteria
Description: partial 16S ribosomal RNA
Rfam family: Bacterial small subunit ribosomal RNA
Source: RNAcentral
AGAGUUUGAUCCUGGCUCAGAACGAACGUUGGCGGCGUGGAUUAGGCAUGCAAGUCGCGCGAAUCCCCGCAAGGGGGGAAGCGGCGUAAGGGGCAGUAAGGCGUGGGCAACCCACCCCCCGGUCCGGGAUAGCCCGUCGAGAGACGGGGUAAUACCGGGCGACACCUCUUGGGGGCAUCCCUGGGAGGUCAGAGGUCCGCCGCCGGGGGCGGGGCCCACGUGGUAUUAGCUAGUUGGUGGGGUGACGGCCCACCAAGGCGGAGAUGCCUAGCGGGUGUGAGAGCACGACCCGCGCCACUGGCACUGAGACACGGGCCAGACACCUACGGGUGGCUGCAGUCGAGGAUCUUCGGCAAUGGGGGCAACCCUGACCGAGCGACGCCGCGUGGGCGACGAAGGCCUUCGGGUUGUAAAGCCCUGUCGAGGGGGAGGAAAGGGUUAAACCUUGACCCAUCCCUGGAGGAAGCACGGGCUAAGUUCGUGCCAGCAGCCGCGGUAAUAC